Molecule: ribosomal RNA, 87 nt
Filed under: Globba sp. Williams 00-334
Lineage: Eukaryota; Viridiplantae; Streptophyta; Magnoliopsida; Zingiberales; Zingiberaceae
Description: partial 5.8S ribosomal RNA
Rfam family: 5.8S ribosomal RNA
About the family: 5.8S ribosomal RNA (5.8S rRNA) is a component of the large subunit of the eukaryotic ribosome. It is transcribed by RNA polymerase I as part of the 45S precursor that also contains 18S and 28S rRNA.
Source: RNAcentral
UGCAGAAUCUCGUGAACCAUUGAGUCUUUGAACGCAAGUUGUGCCCGAGGCUUUGUGGCCGAGGGCACGCCUGCUUGGGCGUCAUGC